CACGGUGAGUAACACGUAUGCAAUCCACCUGUAACAGGGGGAGUAACCCGGAGAAAUCCGGACUAAUACCCCAUAAUAUGGGCGCUCCGCAUGGAGAGUCCAUUAAAGAGAGCAAUCUUGGUUACAGACGAGCAUGCGCUCCAUUAGCCAGUUGGCGGGGUAACGGCCCACCAAGGCGACGAUGGAUAGGGGUUCUGAGAGGAAGGUCCCCCACAUUGGAACUGAGACACGGUCCAA
RNAcentral lists this ribosomal RNA (237 nucleotides) under uncultured bacterium. RNAcentral describes it as "partial 16S ribosomal RNA". It matches the Rfam family "Bacterial small subunit ribosomal RNA", at positions 105 to 334 of the family's 1533-position model. The record is from RNAcentral.